UACGUAGGUGGCAAGCGUUGUUCGGAAUAACUGGGCGUAAAGGGAGCGUAGGCGGCGCAGUAAGUUAGGAGUGAAAUCCCGGGGCUCAACCCCGGAACUGCUUUUAAAACUGCUGUGCUUGAGUGAUGGAGAGGAAAGCGGAAUUCCUAGUGUAGCGGUGGAAUGCGUAGAUAUAUGGAAGAACACCAGUGGCGAAGGCGGCUGUCUGGUCUGCAACUGACGCUGAGGCUCGAAAGCAUGGGUAGCGAACAGG
Molecule: ribosomal RNA, 253 nt
Filed under: uncultured Eubacteriales bacterium
Lineage: Bacteria; Bacillati; Bacillota; Clostridia; Eubacteriales
Description: uncultured Clostridiales bacterium partial 16S ribosomal RNA
Rfam family: Bacterial small subunit ribosomal RNA
Source: RNAcentral